This 265-nucleotide ribosomal RNA is filed under the name uncultured archaeon. RNAcentral's name for it is "partial 16S ribosomal RNA". It matches the Rfam family "Archaeal small subunit ribosomal RNA", at positions 717 to 982 of the family's 1478-position model. The record is from RNAcentral.
AGACGUCUACAUUAGAUACCCGGGUAGUCCCAGCCGUAAACUAUGCGCGUUAGGUGUAAUCGGUGACCACGAGUUACCGAGGUGCCGAAGGGAAACCGUGAAACGUGCCGCCUGGGAAGUACGGUCGCAAGGCUGAAACUUAAAGGAAUUGGCGGGGAGCACCACAACGGGUGGAGCCUGCGGUUUAAUUGGACUCAACGCCGGGAAGCUCACCGGAUAAGACAGCGGAAUGAUUGCCGGGCUGAAGACUCUGCAUGACUAGCUG